UUCAAUUAAAAACAAUUAAACUAUAUAAGUGAUUUUAAAAUUAAUAUUUUAAACCUUUGUUUUCCAAAGGGUAUUCUAGUGAAAAUUACUUGCAUGUUUAAACGUCCAGUAAACUGAGCUUUAUUAUAUAGAAAACCCAUGGUAAUAUAAGUCCAAUAUUUCUUAGGAUAUCAAACACAACGAAGUGGAUGUUCAACAAUCCAUCUAUGGUAAUCUAUCUUGAGGUAAUGCAUUGCAGAUUACUACAAGAAAAUUUACCCGCAAUGCACCAAAUGCAAUCAGAGAUUUAUUGCCAUAAGAUAACACAAAAUCCAUACAUUAUGGAUAUGUUUACUGGUCUUGUAGGUCAUACACAUGUAAACACACUUAAAGAGUUAAUCAAGUCAAUUUGGUUCAGACACGACCUAUUUAGUUGAAUCAUCUACUGGCAUCGCUUCGGGUGGAAAGUGACUUCAUGUAUAUCCCAGGUUACGAACUUGAAAAUUAUCCAUGAAAAGUAAUCGGAAUACAAAAAUCAGUAGCAGGAUUCUCUUUCUAGAUGAAUGGUUUCUCCAGUGCUUCAAAAGAUACAUGAAAAUAGGGACUAUUCGUAAAACAGAUCAAUCUUUUUCUGGCACUAGAGUGAAAAUGAUAUCCAAAUCAUAGGUAAUUAUAGGCACGGAUAAUAUUCUUGCGGUAAAAGAGUCGGACAUUGUUUCCAAAAUUGUUUGCUGCAACUGACAAGUUUAAGCGUGGUCCUUAGAUCUUCCGAAGGUAUGGACACCAAAAACAGCUCAUGAGUCAUGACAAUGCAAGUAAUGAACUCAACAUUUGCUGCAGAAACACUUCCAAAAUUGAAUUUGCAAUGAGCAAUGACAAUCUCUAAAUGCAUAUUAGAAAUUUGAAGUUAUUAUGCCGAAAUUCGAGUUUCGAGUCCCUUAUGGUUUUAGUCGUCUUUUAACUUGUCCCCAAUGUGAUGUCCUGGAGUACAUUUUUCUUUUGAAGUCGGAAAGAAGUUCUCAUUUCUGACCGUAGACUAUUGUAAACCUUGCUUAAUCCUAACCUCUAAAGCUUCCGCUUGUAAUUGUCGAGAAUCGAUAUAAUAAUAUAAAGUUCGAGAAAUUUGAAAAAGAAAAAAGAAAGGCCAUAAGGAAGCUGCAGUGCUACUGCUAUCCUUCUCUCCCACCGAUGAUGCCCAGCUCUUUGAUAUCGCAAGGUACUAGCAAAUGCUGGUGGAGAUCUAGUAAUUGAUUGAAGAGCUCAACCAACAAUUCUUCGGUAACAUUUUUCGAUCGGUUUCAACCACAUUUUAAGUAAUGGUUCUUUGUUUCUUGAAGAAUUUGAUGAGUGCUUGGAAGUUGGCUUGUGCAUCAAACUAGACCUAGCAAGAUUGUGAUUCCAAAUGGCAUAUUUUCACUUAGAGAAGUGAAAAUUCAAAGCCCCUUCAAGGCCCCCGUGGAGAUUCAGCCCGGGUACAUUGAAGACCCCGGCAGACCCCGCGUCGUUCAAAACCGACAGUUGGGUCACCUUCAAUUCACCUUGUCUGGGGUUGGGGUCUUUGAUGAUCAGGGGAAGAUUGCCUAGGAGCAAAACAACUGCAAUAAGAACAAGAAAUGUAAGAAGAUUCCUAUGGUGAGUUUUACUAAGAAGUGUAACAUAAUGAUCUCAUGCUAUUAGAACUAAUGACUUGCAAUUGGUCGGGUGGACAGUAACUUGAGAGUUCAACUUCAUCACCAACGGACCAGUCCGGGACAUCACCACGCUUGACAACAAGAACUUCCAUGUGAAUGUAUUUGGCUGCAAGAACUUCACUUUCCCUAUAAGUUCACGGUGACUGCACCGGAGGAUGCCACCCCAACACCGAGGGGGACGUUCCACAUCAGACGGUGGGAUGGGAUCAUCUUAACGGACUCGACCAUUGGGACAGGGGACGAUUGCCUCUCCCUCUGGGACGUUAGCAGGCAGGUUCAUGUAACCACAGUGAAGUGCGGGCUGGGCCACGGGAUCAGCAUGGGGAAGUUCUCCGUUUCGGGAUUCUUCGUCAAGAACUGCACACUCUACCAAUACCCAGAAUGGAGUCAGGAUUAAGACUUGCCCUGCUUCCUAUCUGGGAACCAUCUCCUACAUGCACUUCGACCAUAUCGAUAUGGUUAACGUCGAUUCCCUCGCUGGUGAAGAUCAGAAAAGUACGGUUCAAGAACAUCCGUGGGAGCUCUUUCACAGUGGUGGCAGCAAAGCUCGCGCGCAGCGGCAAGGUGCUGUGCAAGGACAUGGUGGUCGGUGACAUCAACCUCACAUACAAAGGUCCUGAGGCCCCAGCAACCUCGUCUUGGUGUUCUAAUGUGGUCCCAGCCCCAGCCUUUUCGAGCACACAGCCCCCAAGUCUGUGCCAAAGUCUCUUAAUUAAGCUAUGUACAUAUUCGAUAGACAAUUGAACCGGGAGAAGUAAAGAUAAAGGAAGAAAACACAUGUAGUUGCAAAUCACAGCAGCUAUAAUUCUGAUGGACUUCAUAAUAUUCUCGACUUACCGAAUGAAAUAUAAUUUAUAUAUGAAGGUUUUUCUUCUCU
Non-coding RNA from Punica granatum (pomegranate), 2547 nucleotides. Lineage: Eukaryota; Viridiplantae; Streptophyta; Magnoliopsida; Myrtales; Lythraceae. The record is from RefSeq and is a predicted model, not a curated record.